UGGGGGAUAUUGCACAAUGGGCGAAAGCCUGAUGCAGCGACGCCGCGUGGGGGAUGAAGGCUUUCGGGUUGUAAACCUCUUUCGCUAUCGAACAAGGCCCGCUUAGGGUGGGUUGAGGGUAGGUGGAGAAGAAGCGCCGGCUAACUACGUGCCAGCAGCCGCGGUAAUAGGUAGGGCGCGAGCGUUGUCCGGAAUUAUUGGGCGUAAAGGGCUUGUAGGCGGCUUGUUGCGCCUGCUGUGAAAACGCGGGGCUUAACUUCGCGCGUGCAGUGGGUACGGGCAGGCUUGAGUGUGGUAGGGGUGACUGGAAUUCCAGGUGUAGCGGUGGAAUGCGCAGAUAUCUGGAGGAACACCGAUGGCGAAGGCAGGUCACUGGGCCAUUACUGACGCUGAGGAGCGAAAGCAUGGGUAGCGAACAGG
Molecule: ribosomal RNA, 420 nt
Filed under: bacterium
Lineage: Bacteria
Description: partial 16S ribosomal RNA
Rfam family: Bacterial small subunit ribosomal RNA
Source: RNAcentral